AGAGUUUGAUCCUGGCUCAGGACGAACGCUUGCGACGUGCCUAAGAAAUGCAAGUCGGACGGGGGGAGCAAUCCCCUAGUGGCGAACGGUCGCGUAACACGUGGGCAACCUGCCUCGAAGCGGGGGACAACAACCCGAAAGGGUUGCUAAUACCGCAUGUGGACCACCCCCGGCAUCGGGGGGUGUCCAAAGCCUCCGGGCACUUCGAGAUGGGCCCGCGGCCUAUCAGCUAGUUGGUGGGGUAACGGCCUACCAAGGCGACGACGGGUAGCUGGUCUGAGAGGACGAUCAGCCGGAUUGGGACUGAGAUACGGCCCAGACUCCUACGGGGGGCAGCAAUUAGGAAUCUUGCGCAAUGGGCGAAAGCCUGACGCAGCGACGUCGCGUGAAGGAUGAAAUCUUUCGGGAUGUAAACUUCUUUUACCGGGGAAGAAACAAAUGACGGUACCCGGUGAAUAAGCCCCGGCUAACUACGUGCCAGCAGCCGCGGUAAUACGUAGGGGGCGAGCGUUGUCCGAAGUUACUGGGCGUAAAGAGCGCGUAGGCGGGUCUUUAAGUGAGGGGUGAAAGGUUCAGGGCUCAACCCGGACACUGCCUUUCAUACUGGGGGCCUUGAGUGUGGGAGAGGCGAGUGGAAUGGUCGGUGUAGCGGUGAAAUGCGUAGAUAUCGAUCGGAACACCCAUGGCGAAGGCAGCUCGCUGGCCUAUAACUGACGCUGAGGCGCGAAAGCGUGGGGAGCAAACAGGAUUAGAUACCCUGGUAGUCC
RNAcentral lists this ribosomal RNA (767 nucleotides) under uncultured bacterium. Its description in RNAcentral is "bacterial SSU rRNA". It matches the Rfam family "Bacterial small subunit ribosomal RNA", at positions 8 to 796 of the family's 1533-position model. The record is from RNAcentral.